This 680-nucleotide ribosomal RNA is filed under the name uncultured Alteromonas sp. RNAcentral describes it as "bacterial SSU rRNA". It matches the Rfam family "Bacterial small subunit ribosomal RNA", at positions 73 to 753 of the family's 1533-position model. The record is from RNAcentral. Lineage: Bacteria; Pseudomonadati; Pseudomonadota; Gammaproteobacteria; Alteromonadales; Alteromonadaceae.
UUCUAGCUUGCUAGAAGAUGACGAGUGGCGGACGGGUGAGUAAUGCUUGGGAACUUGCCUUUGCGAGGGGGAUAACAGUUGGAAACGACUGCUAAUACCGCAUAAUGUCUUCGGACCAAACGGGGCUUAGGCUCCGGCGCAAAGAGAGGCCCAAGUGAGAUUAGCUAGUUGGUAAGGUAACGGCUUACCAAGGCGACGAUCUCUAGCUGUUCUGAGAGGAAGAUCAGCCACACUGGGACUGAGACACGGCCCAGACUCCUACGGGAGGCAGCAGUGGGGAAUAUUGCACAAUGGGGGAAACCCUGAUGCAGCCAUGCCGCGUGUGUGAAGAAGGCCUUCGGGUUGUAAAGCACUUUCAGUUGUGAGGAAAAGUUAGUAGUUAAUACCUGCUAGCCGUGACGUUAACAACAGAAGAAGCACCGGCUAACUCCGUGCCAGCAGCCGCGGUAAUACGGAGGGUGCGAGCGUUAAUCGGAAUUACUGGGCGUAAAGCGCACGCAGGCGGUUUGUUAAGCUAGAUGUGAAAGCCCCGGGCUCAACCUGGGAUGGUCAUUUAGAACUGGCAGACUAGAGUCUUGGAGAGGGGAGUGGAAUUCCAGGUGUAGCGGUGAAAUGCGUAGAUAUCUGGAGGAACAUCAGUGGCGAAGGCGACUCCCUGGCCAAAGACUGACGCUCAUGUG